UCGACGUCAGUGCCUCAUGCCUCGACGGCGAGCUAGGGGGUUAGGGCUCCCGACCUCCACACUUUGGCAACAAGAGGGGGGUCAGAUUUCCUAACCUCUCCACCUCGAUAGCGAGGGAGGUUAGAGUGUUUGACCUCCACACCUCAACAGUGAGGGGAGGUUAUGUUUAUUAACCCUCGCACCUCAAUGGUGAUGGGGACGGGGUGCCCGAUCUUUUUCACCUCAAUAGGUGGCACGGGCUUUCCUGACCAGCAUACCUUGGGCAUCUCUUCCUUUAUAUGCUAGCCGUGGUGACUUCUUUUCAUAUAAUUAGGCUUUUUUGACUCACACGCUUGGGGUAUAUUUUGUCUUAUGCCUCUUAUUGUGGUAAGUUUCUUCUCAUAUGAAUCAGGUUUUCUUGACUCACGUGCCUUAGAUAUAUUUUAUCUUGUGUCUUCCAUCGUGAUAAGUUUCUUCUCACUUGAGUUGGAUUUUCUUGGCUUAUGUGUCUCAAGCAUUUUUUUUAUGCCUUAGUCAUAAUGGAUUUCUUCUUAUGAGGGUUGAGUUUUCGUAAUUCAUACACCACAUUUUGCUUAUGACAUGUAGAUUCACAAUCAUGAAAGGUGAGAUAGAGUCGUUGGUGAACCCCAUCAUCGAAAAAGUCAUUGGAGUAUCGUCAGUUGGCAACCAAAGUUUUUGAAGAUUAUCAAAAUAAAGGAUAUCAAUAGAGCUACCUAUGUCGAUCAUGACCCUUUUCACUUAAGUGUAGAUCAUUCUCAUAGAGACUACUAGGGCAUUAUUAUGAUUUGGGUCGAAGUACUCUGUAUCUUUAUCUUUGUAAGUUACUUUCGAUUCACCCUUCAUCCUCGGGUGCAUUUCAGUGGUAGCUCAAGCAUAAGACUUAUAGGCUAAUGAAUUGUCUCCCCAUUUGAGAUCGAGGUGAGUGUUCCCGGUGCUUUCAAAUGAAUCACAUGAGAUGUCCUUAAUAUAUAAGCUUUUCAAUCUACUCUUUUAAGUUAUGACAAUCUUUAAUGUUGUUAUCAUAACCUCAUUGGAACCGAUGGUACUUUGACAUAUCUCUUUUCAUUAAUGGGAUCUUCAUUAUGUUAGGGUCACAUAAAUAUCCUUUUAAUUUUAGUCAUAUUUAAAUGGGUCAACUCGGACAUUAGGUGAGGUAGCUCGGAUCAUUCAUUUCUUCUCCGUUAAGGUGAUCUUGAGGUCGGGGCUAAUUAUAACCACUCUUGCUUUGGCCUCUUACGUAACUUCUUGUGUUUGCCUGAGACCAUUGCCUUGACAGUAAUGUAUUGAUUAGCCUUUUGAAGUACCUUAGGUACAGUCGCUUGUCAUGAACGAUCAUCGUGCACCCGUAACAUCUUCACUUAAUGAAUCGCUCGUCACUUUUGUAUGCUUGUACAGAUGUCUAGUAGCAUGUUUUGCCUUGGUUUUAUAUUUUUAAUUGAAAAUACAAGCAAGAACAGUUCGCAAUACUAUACUGUGACCACUCACUAUACUAGAUAAAACUAUCCUAAAAUGGCUCCGUUUUCACAUGUCACAAUCUAUUUUCUAUAUAUUGUAAUGCAAUGCGAAACAUCAGCUAUCUCAGACCACUGGAACCCCCUGGGUGGCACAGGGGUGGAUAGGGCUUCAAGGUAGUGUCAUGUAUUGAUCGGUUUACACAAGUUCACACGUUGAGUUGAUGAAAUUUGCCAUCACGCUUGACACCCGAUGGGCAAUCAUUUGUGGACUUACGACUGCUUGUUUUGCCUUCUAAAGUCCUUAUUUUUUUAUUCCUCUUUUUUCUCUCUUGCACACAAAGUGUUUGUUGAAUUGCUUAUAAAGUUGCCCUCUUCAGGAGACAUCAGAACUUAUCUAUCGCUCGUUUUCAAACUAAUCAACUUGUUUGUUUUAUAGGUCCUACAAGAUCUUAGCAAGAUUACAAAUAGGCUGACCCUUUAUGGACGCAUAUCGCAAGGGUGCUUCAUAAAUUAGGCAAUCUCAACUAAGUUCGAGAAGUUGGCAUAAGAGUGCUUCACGACUUGAGCAACUCCAGCUAAGUUCGUGGCUUUACCGCAAGGGUGCCUCAUGACUUAGACAAUUUCAACUAAGUCUAUAACACGAUGGUGAUCUCUCUAUCAAUGACUAAAAGAGACGAUAGGGCUUAAGCCACAUUAUGAAUAUUUGUAUUAUGAGUGAUGUAUGAGCAUCUACUACGUCUCGAAUCUUAUUUAUGAACCAAGCGACAAAGUCUGUGAGCAUUUUUUCCUCCCCCUACUACCUAAGUUUGAUGAGUGUUGUUGUUGAAGGCCAAGGGUAUACGUUCCUAAGAAAAUAAAGUUCAAACUCCCUCAUCAAGUAUAUAAAAAGUAGCUUUAGGCGA
RNAcentral lists this long non-coding RNA (2356 nucleotides) under Musa acuminata (dwarf banana). RNAcentral describes it as "long non-coding RNA (MACU_LNC002512)". Lineage: Eukaryota; Viridiplantae; Streptophyta; Magnoliopsida; Zingiberales; Musaceae. The record is from RNAcentral.